GGGGGUGGGAAUAUACCCUGUCCUUAUGGAAUAAUAAUCCUUCUCUUCCAGGUUGGUGAGAAUGUGUUUUCUCUACCCCGGAGCCCCCCGCACGCAAAAAACUCCCUUGACCCCCAGAUCUUGCAGUAGCGAUGGCUCAGGGACAGUGUCCAGGAGUGCCAGGGCGGAAGGGCCACCUCAGCAGAAUCAAUUCCCAGACUGUUUCAGGGGAGCACCACAAGGGGAAGGAAGAGGAACGAAAGAUGCUGGACUUGGGUCAUUCCCAAGGCUUGGAGCCUGCAAGGUCCACUGACUCACUGGGGAAAAGGCUGCAGCACAGACGUGCAGCUCCCGCACACAGUGGUAAAUCUCAGGUCACCUCCCUCCAGUUUGUGCUAUGGGGAGUAAGGUUGAAAAUGUUUCCAAAAGCAUUUACUUUUUCCUCUGGAGGGAGAGAAGAGUAAAACUGAAUAAUUCCUUUUCAAAGUUUGAGAAGUGUUUUGUUUCAAGAAGAAAUAAGUAGAUUUAUUUUUGCAGUAAUGAGUUUGCAGGAAACUUCAGGAAUCUUUUGUAAGGGCUUGUAGCGUCUUGGAAGCUGGAGUCUUUCUUUAUAUACAUACAGCACUUGCAUAACAACCUCUUAACUGUGAAUGAGAUUCCUAGGUGCAGUUGCAAUAAACUGAUUAAUAGUAUCAUUCAUGGUAUCAUACCUCAUUCAUAUGUUCAGUGUAAGUAAAGAGGAAUUACAUUGGCAGGAGUAUAGCGGUUGUGACUUCAAACACGAUACUCUUGGGGGAAAAGUUACAGCUAAAGCAUGCACCACUGGGCACUGCAAUUGGUAAAGCUGCAAAAAAUGCUCAAGAAAAUAAUUUUUGGAGUAAAAAGCAGCAAAAACAAGCUCACAGAGAGCUAGUGCUGGGCAGGUCUGUAGCACGGAAGAAGCAAUGUGGGCAACGUUACCCAGUUAGUCAAACCAAGGAUGGAAAAUAAGGAGGCCUAUCUGUCAGAGGGAUUGGUCAGGGAUGACCCCUAUUUAUGCAUAAACAAGCACCCACAAGCAGGGUCGUUAGGUUUUUUAAUCUGGAGACAGCAAGAACUGAUUUUGUCACCAAACACUUGUGAGACAAAUCACUGACAAGGACACACAGAAAGCAAAAGGGAAUGGAAAAUGGUUAAAUGAGAAGGAAUGUCUUUGCCAUGGGGUACAGCUGCUUGGAAUGCAUUGGGAUCCUCAAGAGAAGACACAAGUAAUGGGUUACAGAGCUUUGGUGCAACCAAAGGGACCCAUUUCCAGUUGUCUUAACCAAAAUUGCAAUAACUGCAACGGGUGAGACAUGUGCUUGUGGCCCCGAGACGACAAACUGGUUCACAGGCUGCAGUUUCCAUAUCAGUUCCUAAAGCUGCUUCUAGGAAAUCACCCAGCCUAAAGAACCUCCUGGGAUCCCAGCUUCUACAUUCCCAUUUCAAAAUGCAUGGCUCUAGACUAAAGAGCAAGGCAUCCGAUGUUGACAGAUUAAAGGGGAAUAUACCAAGCAAAGGGAUCUGCUACCAAGAUGCCCAUAAACCGGCAGUUCUGCCAUCCUCCAGAAUGUGAAUUCUUCCUUUGGUUCUUAGUUGUAUUUUGAUCAAAGUGUAAAUACCAGCAACUGGCACAUGUCAGACAGUGUCAGAGCCGCGUACCAAAGCUUUCUUCAGGUUCAAUCUUUAGCGCUGCUUUACUCAUUUUGUUAGGGCUUUUGGGACAUAGCUCAUUAUUUUUACCACUGUAACCAGCAGAGUGGCCGUAUCAUCAUUUCCCCUUAAAUCCAGGAGAAUAAGUCUGGCCUAUUGGGCAGGGAAACUUAAUUGUGAGAAGCCUCUGGAGGGCGGUUGGCACUGGAUGGUAGCUGUACUAUUAGCAUGUUGCUGCCCCUGUAAAGAAGAAUCCAAGCUCUAAUGCAUACCUGCAAGUCCCGCCAGCUCGACGGGUAUCAAAGCACGCCCACACUUGAGCUGGAGACUCCUCUGCUCAGACAAGGAGGAUUACGGACAUCAUAUGACUAAUUCUGCAAUGACGGUGUAUGCUUAAUUGGUAAAGGACUGCAUUUUCUAUCUUUUUUUAACCCAGGACAUAGCGUCAAAGGUCUGCCUGAUGUUCGAGGUUCAUUUCAGGUAUUUUCUUCAUUGAGAUUCACUGUACCUAAGGUUACUGUGACCUCUGGCUUUGUCUUGUGCUCUUCA
Neopsephotus bourkii (Bourke's parrot) is the source of this 2199-nucleotide long non-coding RNA. RefSeq lists it as uncharacterized. The record is from RefSeq and is a predicted model, not a curated record. The transcript has 4 exons. Lineage: Eukaryota; Metazoa; Chordata; Aves; Psittaciformes; Psittacidae.